Panicum virgatum (switchgrass) is the source of this 2423-nucleotide long non-coding RNA. RefSeq lists it as uncharacterized. The record is from RefSeq and is a predicted model, not a curated record. The transcript has 3 exons. Lineage: Eukaryota; Viridiplantae; Streptophyta; Magnoliopsida; Poales; Poaceae.
UUUCAGUUCCCAUCUUGCGGGUUGGGAUUUUUUACGGCUCGUUUUAAAGCCUGUGUGGGAUGGUGUCUCUCUAGGCUUCAGUUUCAUGUUGUCCUCCCUUUGCUCCGGUGUUGGCUUCAGCGACAGCGGAGUUGAGCGGACUGCGGCAAUAUCAGCGAACAUGGAGGAUCCAAAAGACCUGACUGUAAUUUUUUCUUUUGUUAGAGUCUUCUAUGUAAUGUUAGUUGGACACCUGUCCACUCUGUAUUCUUCUAGGAGGUGCCUGUCUUGUCUGUGUACUUACACAUUGUCCCGUUCUAUUAAUACAGGUACUUUUCAGACCCCAUGCUCAUCCCUCUCAGUUGCUCGUCUCCUCCCCUCUCUUUCCCUGUUUGAGCGCAGCGGCGGCAGCGAGAUGCGGCCUCCGAGAUCCUCCUCCUCCUCCACACGAUGCGGCGGCUGCGGCCCUUCUCUUCCGCACGACGCGGCUGGGGGCAGGCCCUUCUCUUCUUCCCGAGGCGGCUGGGGGCAGUCUCCUCUUCGCAUCGAGGGCGACGAGAUCCACCGCGGCACCAUGGUCGUCGUCAAGGGGACCACGACGGCCGAAUCCACAGCAGCCUACGGGAUCCUCGGCGUGUGGGUGAAGUUGAAUCGAGUCAGUCUUCCCCAACCCACCCUAGCCCCCAUCACCAACCCUUCCCCUAUGUCUGGAUCUAGAAUGACCAGAAGCUCGGCACCAUCAAGGCCAACACGUACCACAAGAGCUCUGCCUCCUCCUCCCCUGCGCAUCCCAUCAAGAUGCUUUUGUGCAUAGACCAAUGAUUUCUGCUUGUGGAGCUGUGAACUUCUCAAUAAAGCGCGGGUAAAUAGACAACUUUUUGUUGAUUACUUUGUAGCUAUUGACCUGGUAGCCAGAGAGCUCACUUCCCUGCAACUCCUGGACUAAGUAUCCUACCUAUCAUGUCUUGGCUUCUAUUUGUAGAUUACUUACCUAUCAUGUCUUGGCUUCUGUUUUUAGAUUAAUUACCUAUCAUGUCUUGGCUUCUGUUUGUAGAUUACUUUGUUGCCUGGUCUUUGUUCUACUUGUAGUAUAGAUGUCCUGAUGUGUUAGGUUUUUAGAUAAAAUAUAAUCUGAUUAGAGAGACAAUAAUCAGUUAGUUAUAAUCAGUUUAUUGCUAUGUGCUGUAUUUGGUAGCUGUCUUCUCAUAUUUAGCCCUGUUUCUGAAUUGUUACAUCUUGCUUAGGUUAUUGACUUAUUGGUUUUGGAAAAGUAGUUGAAGAAGGGAUCAGUCCUUGAUGUCUUCUCAUAGUAAGUAUCAUGCCCAGCACAGAUCAAUGCCAUAAGAAAAAAAAUAUUAGUCCAGAUGAAUAAUAUAUUUUGUAGAGAAAAGAAUGGUCUCUGUUUUCUUUCAUGGUCUCCUAUACAGCAAUGGAUUUAUUGUACUACUGAUGUUGCAUAAGCUCUGUUAAGAAGCAGUGCUUAUUUGCAAACUUGUAUAUUGUUAAUAGUACAUAACUAUUGCUUCAGUAAAUUACGCAGUUUUCUGAUAGCAGUGGUUCACAAUGGUCAUAUGGUGUUAUCUGGAGUUCUAGGCUACAUAGCUCUAUAUAGUCCCAGAGGUAACUGGAAGAACUGAUGGUAAUGGGAUUCUGAUGGUAGGUUAUAUUGCUUUCUGUUGCCCUUUCUCUUCUUAAAGGUCCAAAUAAUAUAGACAGGGACAACCAACUGUUUUCUACCUCAGAUUAAAUUACUACAGUAAAAGCAUAGUAGUAAACUUAGUACUCUCUUGUGCCUGAAAAUUGUUGACUUGAUUUCAAAAUAUAGUGCUCCCUUGUGAAUGUGAAUAUGAAUGUCAAUGCCUCUGUGUUACUGGAUAAUAGUUGUACUAAGUUUGCUUCAUAUUAUUUGCACAAGGAUGGUAUUUUUUUUCUUGCUAAAACAAGGAUGCUAGAUCUUGAUUCUUGGUGAUACUAUUGUUAAUUAGAUGGGCAUGCAUCUAUUUUCUUACAAAGUAAACAUGCUCAGAACAGAGGUGUUGCUCAUGUCUUUAAUCUUUGGCUAUUGUUUUAGGUGAGGUCACACGGUCUGGGAGCAACAAACUGCAGCCUUUCUCGGUACCAUCUUGAUGGCAAAUGUUUGAGAUCACCAUACAAGCAGCAAUUGGUUCAAAGGUUAUCGCAAAGGAAAUGUUAGAUAUUUCGAAGCUGCUAUUAAUUUUGUCAAGUAUAUUUGGCCAUUGAGAUGCAGUGCGGUCCUUAUACAGAUCUGGGGUUGUUUGACUUAUUUUUUAUUGUGAUCCAUAGGACAAUCUAGUGUUGAUAUUUAUGUGUGAAAAUUUGUAUGAAUAGAGAAUACAAGCCCUAUUCAAGGGUCAUUUGUAUGAAAAAUGCGCACUUGUGAUAGAUGUAAUGGAUAAGGUGUAUGUAAUGUUCUCUUUAUCUUU